GCCUGGGUGGCUCAGUUGGUUAAGCAUCUGACUGCAGCUCAGGUCAUGAUCUCAUGGAUUGUGAGUUCCAGCCCUGCCUUAGGUG
Molecule: transfer RNA, 85 nt
Filed under: Felis catus (domestic cat)
Lineage: Eukaryota; Metazoa; Chordata; Mammalia; Carnivora; Felidae
Rfam family: tRNA
About the family: Transfer RNA (tRNA) molecules are approximately 80 nucleotides in length. Their secondary structure includes four short double-helical elements and three loops (D, anti-codon, and T loops). Further hydrogen bonds mediate the characteristic L-shaped molecular structure. tRNAs have two regions of fundamental functional importance: the anti-codon, which is responsible for specific mRNA codon recognition, and the 3' end, to which the tRNAs corresponding amino acid is attached (by aminoacyl-tRNA synthetases). tRNAs cope with the degeneracy of the genetic code in two manners: having more than one tRNA (with a specific anti-codon) for a particular amino acid; and 'wobble' base-pairing, i.e. permitting non-standard base-pairing at the 3rd anti-codon position.
Source: Rfam by way of RNAcentral